RNAcentral lists this ribosomal RNA (406 nucleotides) under uncultured bacterium. RNAcentral describes it as "partial 16S ribosomal RNA". It matches the Rfam family "Bacterial small subunit ribosomal RNA", at positions 30 to 526 of the family's 1533-position model. The record is from RNAcentral.
AUUGAACGCUGGCGGCAGGCCUAACACAUGCAAGUCGAACGAGUGGCGGACGGGUGAGUAAUGUCUGGGAAACUGCCCGAUGGAGGGGGAUAACUACUGGAAACGGUAGCUAAUACCGCAUACCAUCGGAUUUGCCCAGAUGGGAUUAGCUAGUAGGUGGGGUAAUGGCUCACCUAGGCGACGAUCCCUAGCGGGUCUGAGAGGAUGACCAGCCACACUGGAACGGUGACACGGUCCAGACUCCGACGGGAGGCAGCAGUGGGGAAAAUUGCACAAUGGGCGCAAGCCUGAUGCGGCCCUGCCUGGUGUAUGAAGAAGGCCUUCGGGUUGGAAAGUACUUUCAGCGAGGAGGCGUUACUCGCAGAAGAAGCACCGGCUAAUUCCGUGCCAGCAGCCGCGGUAAUAC